AAGUAACUCCGAGUCCUGCCACGGAUGGCGGUGAUAGGGGUAACGGCUGGUUGGCACAGCCAUCGAAGUUCCUGUUUGACAAGGAAACUGGUGCAUUCGCACCUCAAGAACAGGUGACGUCGUAAACCACAAUAUCCCAACGUGGGAAUCCUCGCGCUUCAGCGCGGGGA
This 170-nucleotide non-coding RNA is filed under the name Halorubrum vacuolatum. RNAcentral's name for it is "Sense overlapping transcript RNA 0042 (sot)". It matches the Rfam family "Sense overlapping transcript RNA 0042 (sot)". From Rfam's summary of the family: It is associated with IS1341-type transposase (tnpB) genes, at the 3'-end in H. salinarum NRC-1. The tetraloop structural motif may be functional. The record is from Rfam by way of RNAcentral. Lineage: Archaea; Methanobacteriati; Methanobacteriota; Halobacteria; Halobacteriales; Haloferacaceae.